AAACUCAAAGGAAUUGACGGGGGCCCGCACAAGCGGAGGAACAUGUGGUUUAAUUCGAUGAUACGCGAGGAACCUUACCUGGGCUUAAAUGUAGAUUGCAUGAGGUGGAAACACUUCUUCCCUUCGGGGCUAUUUACAAGGUGCUGCAUGGUUGUCGUCAGCUCGUGCCGUGAGGUGUCGGGUUAAGUCCCAUAACGAGCGCAACCCUUACCGUUAGUUGCCAUCGGGUCAAGCCGGGGACUCUAGCGGGACUGCCACCGUAAGGUGAGAGGAAGGUGGGGAUGACGUCAAAUCAGCACGGCCCUUAUGUCCAGGGCUACACACGUGUUACAAUGGCCGGUACAGAGGGCAGCUACCUGGUGACAGGAUGCUAAUCCCGAAAGCCGGUCCCAGUUCGGAUUGGAGUCUGCAACUCGACUCCAUGAAGUCGGAAUCGCUGGUAAUCGCGUAUCAGCGUGACGCGGUGAAUACGUUCCCGGGCCUU
This 484-nucleotide ribosomal RNA is filed under the name uncultured Sphingobacteriales bacterium. RNAcentral describes it as "bacterial SSU rRNA". It matches the Rfam family "Bacterial small subunit ribosomal RNA", at positions 897 to 1382 of the family's 1533-position model. The record is from RNAcentral. Lineage: Bacteria; Pseudomonadati; Bacteroidota; Sphingobacteriia; Sphingobacteriales.